UACGUAGGGGGCUAGCGUUGUCCGGAUUUAUUGGGCGUAAAGAGCGUGUAGGCGGCCAGGUAGGUCUGCUGUGAAAACUCGAGGCUCAACCUCGAGACGUCGGCGGAAACCAUCUGGCUAGAGUCCGGAAGAGGAGAGUGGAAUUCCUGGUGUAGCGGUGAAAUGCGCAGAUAUCAGGAAGAACACCCGUGGCGAAGGCGGCUCUCUGGGACGGUACUGACGCUGAGGAGCGAAAGCCAGGGGAGCAAACGGG
This 253-nucleotide ribosomal RNA is filed under the name uncultured bacterium. Its description in RNAcentral is "partial 16S ribosomal RNA". It matches the Rfam family "Bacterial small subunit ribosomal RNA", at positions 524 to 776 of the family's 1533-position model. The record is from RNAcentral.